Molecule: long non-coding RNA, 864 nt
Organism: Tachyglossus aculeatus (Australian echidna)
Lineage: Eukaryota; Metazoa; Chordata; Mammalia; Monotremata; Tachyglossidae
Exons: 3
Source: RefSeq, a predicted model, not a curated record
AGGAAACUGGGAGCCCCGGGGCUGGCACCUGUGACGACACCGCUGGAGCCCGGGGGGACCGAGGCCUGUAUGGCACCCGCAGUCCGGGAAGAACCUACCUCAAAGUAUAUGUAUGCCCUUGGGAUGAAGGAGCAUAAACACACGGAGGAGCAUGGAGAAAGAGGAAUGAGGCAAGAAGUUGGAGAUGCCUGAAUUUAACCCCAGUUCGACAUGUACUAGCUUUCUAAAUGUAUCUGGGAGGGCUGCAACCAAGGAAUGCAGAAGGCUUAGGGAGAGGGGGAAAACUACAUUAACCCUGUUGUAACAUGCUAGGAUUAAAAACUACCACCCCCUCCAAAGAUCAUUUGUAAUAUAGGGAGAAAUGGAACUGUGAAGGCUGAACAACUUUUUUCUUUCUUAUACUUGAGAAAUUUUUCUUUAAAGGACCACAGUGUGUUUUCCAGAGCUCUUAGAAUCAGGCAUCCUCCAUAAAUAUAUAUUUUUUCCCUUUGAGGAAGUGAUGGGGGGCAGGAAAUGAGGAAGGGAGAAAAUUCCAAUUGCUCGGCUCUUAUAACCUUUAGCGUCCCACACACGCUGUAACUAUUGUUACAUAUUUUAGGUAAUAACUACAUAGUGUAGUGCACAGCACAAAGAGAUAUGGAAUCUUUCAAAGAGGGAGGGUGGGGGAAGAGCAGAAAGAGGACAGCACCCGUUUCACAGGCCCAACCUGUCUUCUUCCUCCUUCCAUGGGGUCACCAUUAGUAUGUCAUCACCUAUAGGCUAUAAUUGCCUUCAAUUUCCCAGGGGCUAGUGAAUAGCAACCAGUGGCGGAGGAGGAAGAGGAAGAAGAAGAGGAAGAAAUGAAGGAGAAGGAGAAGGAGGAGA